Molecule: long non-coding RNA, 214 nt
Filed under: Medicago truncatula (barrel medic)
Lineage: Eukaryota; Viridiplantae; Streptophyta; Magnoliopsida; Fabales; Fabaceae
Description: long non-coding RNA (MTRU_LNC002034)
Source: RNAcentral
AUUUUGUUUACCUUUCUACUAUUUUUAUGCCUUAUGAUACUAACCAUUUCAUCUCACAUUUCAUUCAUCCCAUAGUUUUGGCAUCAUUUUUCUAUUCAUUUCUAUAUCAAUUGGGUUUGUAAUAAUUUUAGAUAGAUUAGUUCUUUUUUUAAAUUCCUUGCAAGACCAUAGCAUGUAUUUAGGACUCAAUGUAAAGGACUAUGGACACUAUAAG